GGUUAAGUGACUAAGCGUACACGGUGGAUGCCUUGGCAGUCAGAGGCGAUGAAAGACGUAGUAACUUGCGAUAAGCCCAGAUUAGGUAGUAACAACCAUUUGAGUCUGGGAUUUCUGAAUGGGGAAACCCACUUACAUAAGUAAGUAUCAUUAACUGAAUACAUAGGUUAAUGAGGCGAACCGGGGGAACUGAAACAUCUAAGUACCCCGAGGAAAAGAAAUCAACCGAGAUUCCGAAAGUAGCGGCGAGCGAAAUUGGACUAGCCCUUAAGCUUUACACGCGUUAGACGAACGGUCUGGAAAGUCCGACGAUACAGGGUGAUAGUCCCGUAGUUGACGACGUGUGUUCAGUGAAAUCGAGUAGGGCGGGACACGUGAUAUCCUGUCUGAAUAUGGGGGGACCAUCCUCCAAGGCUAAAUACUACUGACUGACCGAUAGUGAACCAGUACCGUGAGGGAAAGGCGAAAAGAACCCCUGUGAGGGGAGUGAAAUAGAACCUGAAACCGUGUACGUACAAGCAGUAGGAGCACCUUCGUGGUGUGACUGCGUACCUUUUGUAUAAUGGGUCAGCGACUUAUAUUCAGUGGCAAGGUUAACCAUCUAGGGGAGCCGUAGGGAAACCGAGUCUUAACUGGGCGUUCAGUCUCUGGAUAUAGACCCGAAACCAGGUGAUCUAGCCAUGGGCAGGUUGAAGGUUGAGUAACAUCAACUGGAGGACCGAACCGACUAAUGUUGAAAAAUUAGCGGAUGACUUGUGGCUAGGGGUGAAAGGCCAAUCAAACCUGGAGAUAGCUGGUUCUCCCCGAAAGCUAUUUAGGUAGCGCCUCGGACGAAUACUACUGGGGGUAGAGCACUGUUAAGGCUAGGGGGUCAUCCCGACUUACCAACCCUUUGCAAACUCCGAAUACCAGUAAGUACUAUCCGGGAGACACACGGCGGGUGCUAACGUCCGUCGUGGAGAGGGAAACAACCCAGACCGCCAGCUAAGGUCCCAAAUUACUACUAAGUGGGAAACGAUGUGGGAAGGCUCAGACAGCCAGGAUGUUGGCUUAGAAGCAGCCAUCAUUUAAAGAAAGCGUAAUAGCUCACUGGUCGAGUCGGCCUGCGCGGAAGAUGUAACGGGGCUAAGUAGUAAACCGAAGCUGCGGCAAUAUACUUUUGUAUAUUGGGUAGGGGAGCGUUCUGUAAGCGGUUGAAGGUGUGUGGUAACGCAUGCUGGACGUAUCAGAAGUGCGAAUGCUGACAUGAGUAACGAUAAAGGGGGUGAAAAACCUCCUCGCCGGAAGACCAAGGGUUCCUGUCCAACGUUAAUCGGGGCAGGGUAAGUCGACCCCUAAGGCGAGGCCGAAAGGCGUAGUCGAUGGGAAACGGGUUAAUAUUCCCGUACUUCUUACAAUUGCGAUGGGGGGACGGAGAAGGCUAGGUGGGCCUGGCGACGGUUGUCCAGGUUCAAGUGCGUAGGCUUAAGAGUUAGGUAAAUCCGGCUCUUUUUAAGGCUGAGACACGACGUCGAGCACCUACGGGUGUGAAGUCAUUGAUGCCAUGCUUCCAGGAAAAGCCUCUAAGCUUCAGAUUGUAAGGAAUCGUACCCCAAACCGACACAGGUGGUCGGGUAGAGAAUACCAAGGCGCUUGAGAGAACUCGGGUGAAGGAACUAGGCAAAAUGGUACCGUAA
RNAcentral lists this ribosomal RNA (1676 nucleotides) under Vibrio parahaemolyticus. Its description in RNAcentral is "partial 23S ribosomal RNA". It matches the Rfam family "Bacterial large subunit ribosomal RNA", at positions 1 to 1733 of the family's 2925-position model. Lineage: Bacteria; Pseudomonadati; Pseudomonadota; Gammaproteobacteria; Vibrionales; Vibrionaceae. The record is from RNAcentral.